RNAcentral lists this ribosomal RNA (501 nucleotides) under uncultured bacterium. RNAcentral's name for it is "partial 16S ribosomal RNA". It matches the Rfam family "Bacterial small subunit ribosomal RNA", at positions 30 to 523 of the family's 1533-position model. The record is from RNAcentral.
AUUGAACGCUGGCGGCAGGCUUAACACAUGCAAGUCGAGCGGGGGAAGGUAGCUUGCUACCGGACCUAGCGGCGGACGGGUGAGUAAUGCUUAGGAAUCUGCCUAUUAGUGGGGGACAACAUCUCGAAAGGGAUGCUAAUACCGCAUACGUCCUACGGGAGAAAGCAGGGGAUCUUCGGACCUUGCGCUAAUAGCUGAGCCUAAGUCGGAUUGGCUAGUUGGUGGGGUAAAGGCCUACCAAGGCGACGAUCUGUAGCGGGUCUGGGAGGAUGAUCCGCCACACUGGGACUGAGACACGGCCCAGACUCCUACGGGAGGCAGCAGUGGGGAAUAUUGGAAAAUGGGGGGAACCCUGAUCCAGCCAUGCCGCGUGUGUGAAGAAGGCCUUAUGGUUGUAAAGCACUUUAAGCGAGGAGGAGGCUACUCUAGUUAAUACCUAGGGAUAGUGGACGUUACUCGCAGAAUAAGCACCGGCUAACUCUGUGCCAGCAGCCGCCGUAA